UGUGAGAGCGAGCCUGCUCGCGAUAGCGGUGUGUCAGUCAACGAAGAUGCUGAAUGUCAUUGCGCUAUCGCGAGCAGGCUCGCUCCCACA
Molecule: unclassified non-coding RNA, 90 nt
Filed under: Pseudomonas thivervalensis
Lineage: Bacteria; Pseudomonadati; Pseudomonadota; Gammaproteobacteria; Pseudomonadales; Pseudomonadaceae
Source: RNAcentral